This 789-nucleotide ribosomal RNA is filed under the name uncultured archaeon. Its description in RNAcentral is "bacterial SSU rRNA". It matches the Rfam family "Archaeal small subunit ribosomal RNA", at positions 85 to 879 of the family's 1478-position model. The record is from RNAcentral.
ACGGCUCAGUAACACGUGGACAACCUACCCUACAGAAGGGGAUAACCCCGGGAAACUGGGGAUAAUACCCUAUAGACUAUGGAUGCUGGAAUGCUCUGUAGCCGAAAGGUCCGCCGCUGUAGGAUGGGUCUGCGGCCGAUUAGGUUGUUGUUGGGGUAACGGCCCAACAAGCCUGUAAUCGGUACGGGUUUUGGGAGCAAGAGCCCGGAGAUGGAUCCUGAGACACGAAUCCAGGCCCUACGGGGCGCAGCAGGCGCGAAAACUUUGCAAUGCGGGAAACCGUGACAAGGGAACUCUGAGUGCCCGUAAAAUCGGGCUGUCCAUCGGUUUAAAUAACCGGUGAAGAAAGGGCCGGGCAAGACCGGUGCCAGCCGCCGCGGUAAUACCGGCGGCUCGAGUGGUGGCCACUAUUACUGGGCUUAAAGCGUUCGUAGCUGGUUUGUUAAGUCUCUGGGGAAAUCUUCCGGCUCAACCGGAAGGCGUCUCAGGGAUACUGGCAGACUAGGGACCGGGAGAGGUGAGAGGUACUCCAGGGGUAGGAGUGAAAUCCUGUAAUCCUUGGGGGACCACCUGUGGCGAAGGCGUCUCACCAGAACGGCUCCGACAGUGAGGGACGAAAGCUGGGGGAGCAAACCGGAUUAGAUACCCGGGUAGUCCCAGCUGUAAACGAUGCGCGUUAGGUGUAUCGAUGACCACGAGUCAUCGAGGUGCCGAAGAGAAAUCGUGAAACGUGCCGCCUGGGAAGUACGGUCGCAAGGCUGAAACUUAAAGGAAUUGGCGGGGGAGCAC